RNAcentral lists this ribosomal RNA (377 nucleotides) under Sordariomycetes sp. 1838 RO-2014. RNAcentral describes it as "LSU rRNA". It matches the Rfam family "Eukaryotic large subunit ribosomal RNA", at positions 138 to 522 of the family's 3401-position model. RNAcentral also lists the same sequence under 1 other name. Lineage: Eukaryota; Fungi; Ascomycota; Sordariomycetes. The record is from RNAcentral.
CCGAGUUGUAAUUUGCAGAGGAUGCUUUUGGCGCGGUGCCUUCCGAGUUCCCUGGAACGGGACGCCUUAGAGGGUGAGAGCCCCGUACGGUUGGACACCAAGCCUCUGUAAAGCUCCUUCGACGAGUCGAGUAGUUUGGGAAUGCUGCUCUAAAUGGGAGGUAAAUUUCUUCUAAAGCUAAAUACCGGCCAGAGACCGAUAGCGCACAAGUAGAGUGAUCGAAAGAUGAAAAGCACUUUGAAAAGAGGGUUAAAUAGCACGUGAAAUUGUUGAAAGGGAAGCGUUUACGGCCAGACCUUUUCCUGGCGGAUCAUCUGGUGUUCUCACCAGUGCACUUCGCCAGGUUUAGGCCAGCAUCGGCUUCCGUAGGGGGAUAA